This 159-nucleotide ribosomal RNA is filed under the name uncultured bacterium. Its description in RNAcentral is "partial 16S ribosomal RNA". It matches the Rfam family "Bacterial small subunit ribosomal RNA", at positions 1343 to 1500 of the family's 1533-position model. The record is from RNAcentral.
GGCAGGUCAGCAUACUGCCGUGAAUACGUUCCCGGGCCUUGUACACACCGCCCGUCACACCAUGAGAGUUGGGAAUACCCGAAGCCUGUGAGCUAACUUUUUAAGAGGCAGCAGUCGAAGGUAGAAUCAAUGAUUGGGGUGAAGUCGUAACAAGGUAAC